Long non-coding RNA from Leopardus geoffroyi (Geoffroy's cat), 1356 nucleotides. RefSeq lists it as uncharacterized. The record is from RefSeq and is a predicted model, not a curated record. NCBI's taxonomy places the organism in Eukaryota, Metazoa, Chordata, Mammalia, Carnivora, Felidae. The transcript has 2 exons.
GGGUAUGGUGCCAGGGUGACAGAGGGUUUGUGUUCAAGGCUGUAUCACUGUGCUAUGUGUUCAAUGGAGGGACCCAGGUGACGAUACUAGGAUUACAUCUGCUGCCCUGAGAUGUCACCAAACCUCCAGGGGAAGGUGCAGAAGGGCAUUCAGCAGAGGGGACCUGACUUCUGGAACCUUCAGGCCCCAGGAUGGACAGACACCCUGUGAGGAAGUGCGGCAUGGCAGGGCUGGAGGGUGAUUGGCCUCUGGGACCCAACUCCCAAAAACUCUCCCACCCAAGUCCCCUCAAUGAAAUCUCAGUGACACCCAUUUCCCUGCCAUCACUGUAAAUGCAAGCCACUCCAGUCCCCUUCCCCUGGCCCUGACUGGUCUGGCUGCAGCCAGCAGUCAGGGCGGCCUCAGGGCCCCCACUCCAUCUCUAUCAGAGAGCAGCUUCUCAGGCCCAGCACCAGCUUUCAGGCCUCAACAUCUCAAAUGUGAGGAGCCACCAUCCCUCCCAAGACGGCCAUGACAGGACCACAGACAUGAUCCCAGGCGGAAGAAGUGACCCAGAAGUAAUGAAAUGCCUGGCCUCAGGGAUGGCCCAUCUGUAACCUGACAAACUCUUGAGGAUUCUAUUUCCCAGUAAGAAAAUAAUGGGGCAUCAGUGUGUGAACCCAUCCUCUAACAGACUGUGUGGGAAACCCCCCGUAAAGCUGGGUCACUGGGCAGUCUGUCAGGGCCUCUGACCUCCCUGGGUUAUUAGGCAUCCCCGGUGACUUCCAAGGCACUCAGUCACUCCAGAGUAGACCAUCUGGUGCCCCAGGAUACCCCUCCAGGCCACCCCUUCACCUUUGCACACUCUGACCCUCCAGGAUGGCACAUCCAGGCCAAUCUACCUUCCAGUCACCUUCUCCUGUCCCUCUGGCAGUAAACCCACUCUUUCUCCCACCCCAGAACUCAUCUCGGAUGCCACCUUCUCUCCUGUUGCUACCUACCUCUCACCUGCCCCCUAUAGCAUGACUCUAAGGACUCCGGGGCUCUACGGCCCCUUUACCUUGUCUCAAACUAGCUGGUCUCUCUGUCACCCCACCUCUCCCCUACAUUUGCCAGGGUAUCAUCGAUGGCCCUCAAGUGCCCUAAUCCAACUGUCUCCUCACAGUCUUCCCCUCGGCCGACCUCUAGGUGGACUUGAGAACCGCACACCAUUCUCCCCAUCUUGAACUCCUCAGGCCCCCAAGGUCCCUCUCCUGAGCCUUCUUCUCUAUCCUCUAUCCUCCUCCAUCCACUUUGUUCUGGUAUUGCCACUCAGGGUCACAGGGAGCUGGCCCCAUCAGCCACUCUUUCUAAGUCAUAAACUAGAUCUAAAAAGGG